Molecule: ribosomal RNA, 348 nt
Filed under: Escherichia coli
Lineage: Bacteria; Pseudomonadati; Pseudomonadota; Gammaproteobacteria; Enterobacterales; Enterobacteriaceae
Description: partial 23S ribosomal RNA
Rfam family: Bacterial large subunit ribosomal RNA
Source: RNAcentral
CAAUCUGUGUGACUGCGUACCUUUUGUAUAAUGGGUCAGCGACUUAUAUUCUGUAGCAAGGUUAACCGAAUAGGGGAGCCGAAGGGAAACCGAGUCUUAACUGGGCGUUAAGUUGCAGGGUAUAGACCCGAAACCCGGUGAUCUAGCCAUGGGCAGGUUGAAGGUUGGGUAACACUAACUGGAGGACCGAACCGACUAAUGUUGAAAAAUUAGCGGAUGACUUGUGGCUGGGGGUGAAAGGCCAAUCAAACCGGGAGAUAGCUGGUUCUCCCCGAAAGCUAUUUAGGUAGCGCCUCGUGAAUUCAUCUCCGGGGGUAGAGCACUGUUUCGGCAAGGGGGUCAUCCCGA